Molecule: ribosomal RNA, 467 nt
Filed under: uncultured bacterium
Lineage: Bacteria
Description: partial 16S ribosomal RNA
Rfam family: Bacterial small subunit ribosomal RNA
Source: RNAcentral
GAUGAACGCUGGCGGCGUGCUUAACACAUGCAAGUCGAACGAUGAAGCCCAGCUUGCUGGGUGGAUUAGUGGCGAACGGGUGAGUAACACGUGAGUAACCUGCCCUUGACUCUGGGAUAAGCCUGGGAAACUGGGUCUAAUACCGGAUACGACCAUUGCCCGCAUGGGUUGGUGGUGGAAAGCUUUUGUGGUUUUGGAUGGACUCGCGGCCUAUCAGCUUGUUGGUGAGGUAAUGGCUCACCAAGGCGACGACGGGUAGCCGGCCUGAGAGGGUGACCGGCCACACUGGGACUGAGACACGGCCCAGACUCCUACGGGAGGCAGCAGUGGGGAAUAUUGCACAAUGGGCGAAAGCCUGAUGCAGCGACGCCGCGUGAGGGAUGACGGCCUUCGGGUUGUAAACCUCUUUCAGUAGGGAAGAAGCGAGAGUGACGGUACCUGCAGAAGAAGCGUCGGCUAACUACGUG